GCCUGGCUGGCUCAGUCAGUAGAGCUUGUGACUCUCAAUCUCAGGAUUGUGAGUUCAAGCUCCACGUUGGGCA
Molecule: transfer RNA, 73 nt
Filed under: Felis catus (domestic cat)
Lineage: Eukaryota; Metazoa; Chordata; Mammalia; Carnivora; Felidae
Also listed under: 6 other names
Rfam family: tRNA
About the family: Transfer RNA (tRNA) molecules are approximately 80 nucleotides in length. Their secondary structure includes four short double-helical elements and three loops (D, anti-codon, and T loops).
Source: Rfam by way of RNAcentral